GGGGUUGUGGCUCAGCAGUAGAGCGCUCGCCUGGCACGUGUGAGGCCUUGGGUUUGAUCCUCAGCACCUCA
This 71-nucleotide transfer RNA is filed under the name Ictidomys tridecemlineatus (thirteen-lined ground squirrel). RNAcentral describes it as "Spermophilus tridecemlineatus (thirteen-lined ground squirrel) tRNA". It matches the Rfam family "tRNA". From Rfam's summary of the family: Transfer RNA (tRNA) molecules are approximately 80 nucleotides in length. The record is from Rfam by way of RNAcentral. Lineage: Eukaryota; Metazoa; Chordata; Mammalia; Rodentia; Sciuridae.